Molecule: ribosomal RNA, 538 nt
Filed under: uncultured bacterium
Lineage: Bacteria
Description: partial 16S ribosomal RNA
Rfam family: Bacterial small subunit ribosomal RNA
Source: RNAcentral
UGGGGAAUUUUGGACAAUGGGCGAAAGCCUGAUCCAGCAAUGCCGCGUGUGUGAAGAAGGCCUUCGGGUUGUAAAGCACUUUUGUCCGGAAAGAAAUCCUUGGCUCUAAUACAGUCGGGGGAUGACGGUACCGGAAGAAUAAGCACCGGCUAACUACGUGCCGGCAGCCGCGGUAAUACGUAGGGUGCAAGCGUUAAUCGGAAUUACUGGGCGUAAAGCGUGCGCAGGCGGUUUUGCUAAGACCGAUGUGAAAUCCCCGGGCUCAACCUGGGAACUGCAUUGGUGACUGGCAGGCUAGAGUAUGGCAGAGGGGGGUUAGAAUUCCACGUGUAGCAGUGAAAUGCGUAGAGAUGUGGAGGAAUACCGAUGGCGAAGGCAGCCCCCUGGGCCAAUACUGACGCUCAUGCACGAAAGCGUGGGGAGCAAACAGGAUUAGAUACCCUGGUAGUCCACGCCCUAAACGAUGUCAACUAGUUGUUGGGGGAUUCAUUUUCCUUAGUAACGUAGCUAACGCGUGAGUUGACCGCCUGGGGAGUAC